RNAcentral lists this long non-coding RNA (1869 nucleotides) under Macaca mulatta (Rhesus monkey). RNAcentral describes it as "lncRNA (ENSMMUG00000051604.1)". Lineage: Eukaryota; Metazoa; Chordata; Mammalia; Primates; Cercopithecidae. The record is from RNAcentral.
UUUUUUUUUUUUUUUUGAAAUGGAGUCUCCCUCUGUUGCCCAGGCUGGAGUGCAGUGGCGUGAUCUCAGCUCGCUGCAACCUCUGCCUCCUGGGUUCAAGUGAUACUCCUGCCUCAGCCUCCUGAGUAGCUGGGAUUACAGGUGCCCACCACUACACCCGGCUAAGUUUUGUAUUUUUAGUAGAGAUGGGGUUUCACCAUAUUGGCCAGGCUGGUCUUGAACUCCUGACCUCAAGUUAUCCACCCACCUCGGCCUCCCAAAGUUUUGGGAUUACAGGCGUGAGCCACUGCACCAGGCUUGUGUUCCCCAUUUAUGGAGGAGGAGAUGAGACAUGGUGAGGCCAGGAAGCAGACACAGACAGAGCCCAUUGGAGCCCUGGGUCCCCCACUCGACUUUUAAAUUGUGUGAUUUGGAGGAAGAAGAAAAUCAAGUACCCUAUGCAACUCUGUGUCCCAAGUUUUCAUCCCUAAAAUGACUCCACAGGAUGGCUUCAGGAUAUUCUUCUGUGCCCGAGGGAUGAGGCCCAGGGGACUCUGAGGGAUGAGGCCGGUGCUGUUUGGGGUGCAGGGGUGAGCCCCUAAAGCAGCAUCCAUCCACCACUCCCUGUGGCCAAGCUCCUUGCCCAGGGAACUCCUGGGCUGGCAGGAGGUGGCCAGGUGCCUUAUGUCUCCUCUCCCCAUUCUCCCAGUCCUCCAGAUGGCAGCUGUUGACUUUUUCUCCAGACCCCAGCUGUCCCAUCUGAGCCCUUCUUUCUGUCUGGACAGAGGUGGCCCUGGCUGUGCCUCUCCUUUGGAACCCAUGGCCCGAGGGGCAUGCUUGGCAGUGGUAUGGAGUUCACAGACCUGCUUUCUAUUUUUUUUUUUUUUUUUUUGAGAUGAGUCUCGCUCUGUUGCCCAGGCUGGAAUGCAGCAGUGACCUUGGCUCACUGCAACCUAUGUCUCCCAGGCUUGAGCAAUAUUCUUGCCUCACCCUGAGUGGCUGGGAUUAUAGGCACCCACCACCAAGACCAGCUAAUUACUGUAUUUUUAGUAGAGAUGGGGUUUCACCAUGUUGGCCAGGCUGGUCUCAAACUCCUGGGCUCAAGUGAUCCCUCCACCUCAGCCUCCCGAAGUACCGGGAUUACAGGCAUGAACCACCAUGCUUGGCUCAACCCCACUUUCUUAUGAUCAUGGCAGGUCACCCAAGCCUUCAAUGGCUCCCCAGGGCCAGUCACACUAAAUCCCAGCUCUGCCCUUGCUCAUUGCUGCUGCCUUGAUCUUCUUUUUGGCCUCCAGGACUGUCUGCUGGGACCAUUACAGUAGUCUCUUGCCUAGUCUCCUGCUCUCCCAGUCUUGCCCCAUCUGGUCUAGCUUUUCCCCCUAGCAGCAGACUGAGCUUUCUAGAACCCAAAUCUGACCACGUCCCGCCUCCACUUAGAGUAUGUCACUGGGUCCCACUGCCCCCAAGCUGGUAUCCAAGCUUGCUCUCAGCCUGGCAUUCAGGAUCAGCUGCCUUGGAUCUGCCCCCUGCCAACACCUCCCCACCAAACUCCACACUCUGACCCAGAUGAGCCAUCAUCCCCAUCACUCCCUCUCAUGUCCCUCAAGCCUAACCUUGACCCUGGUCAGCUGUUUCCCACACCCCGAAUGCACUUGCUGUCCUUCCCAUCGACACCAGCUCUUCCUUCAAGGUUGGUCCCAGUGGUUGUCCCCAAGAGGGGUCUCCAGGAUUCUUAGUGACAAGCAACAGAAUCCAACUGUGGCUCACUUAAGCAGAAGAAAACGUAUUAAACAGAUAUUGGGUUAUACAAACUCCCAGGAAGGCAGGAAGAUCCCAUGGAAAAGGGGAGGCAAGACAUCACCCCUCUUCCUACCACAGAGCCAACCUGGU